GAAAGUAAAUAAGGGCGCAUGGCGGAUGCCUUGGCUCUCGGAGGCGAUGAAGGACGUGAUAAGCUGCGAUAAGCUUCGGGUAGGUGCAAAUGACCUUUGAUCCGAAGAUUUCCGAAUGGGACAACCCGGCAUUCUGAAGGAAUGUCAUCCAACUUGGUUGGAGGCUAACGCAGGGAACUGAAACAUCUUAGUACCUGCAGGAAAAGAAAAUAAAUAAUGAUUCCCCUAGUAGUGGCGAGCGAACGGGGAUUAGCCCAAACCACCCAUGUUACGGCAUGUGUGGGGUUGUAGGACCACGCUCUCGCAAGACAGUUAUUGAGAAGAAACGACUGGAAAGUCGUGCCAUAGACGGUGAUAGCCCGGUAUUCUAAGGUAACCGAAGCGUAGUGGUAUCCUGAGUAGCGCGGAGCACGAGGAAUUCUGCGUGAAUCAGCCGGGACCAUCCGGUAAGGCUAAAUACUCCCGAGAGACCGAUAGCGAACCAGUACUGUGAAGGAAAGGUGAAAAGCACUUCGAAUAGAAGAGUGAAAUAGUCCCUGAAACCAUGCGCCUACAAGCGGUCGGAGCAGCUUAAGUUGUGACGGCGUGCCUUUUGCAUAAUGAACCUACGAGUUACUUUUUCCGGCAAGGUUAAGCAUCUUGAGAUGUGGAUCCGAAGCGAAAGCGAGUCUGAACAGGGCGGAUAGUCGGAAGGAGUAGACGCGAAACCAAGUGAUCUACCCUUGGGCAGGUUGAAGGUUAGGUAACACUAACUGGAGGACCGAACCGAUAAGCGUUGAAAAGCUUCCGGAUGACCUGAGGGUGGGGGUGAAAGGCUAAUCAAACUUGGAGAUAGCUCGUACUCCCCGAAAUGCAUUUAGGUGCAGCCUUGAGAGUUACUAAUGUGAGGUAGAGCGACUGAUAAGAUGCGAGGGCUUCACCGCCUAUCAAGUCUUGAUAAACUCCGAAUGCGCAUUAGUUCUAUCUCAGGAGUGAGGGCAUGGGUGCUAAGGUCCAUGUCCUAAAGGAGAAGAAUCCAGACCAUCAGCUAAGGUCCCCAAAUAAACACUAAGUUGAACUAACGAAGUCAGAUUGCUAAGACAGCUAGGAUGUUGGCUUGGAAGCAGCCAUUCAUUUAAAGAGUGCGUAACAGCUCACUAGUCGAGGAGUUUGGCGUGGAUAAUAAUCGGGCAUAAGUGUUUUACCGAAGCUAUGGGAUACGUAAGUAUCGGUAGGGGAGCAUUCCACUCAGCGUUGAAGGCGAAGCGUGAGCUUUACUGGAGCGUGUGGAAAAGCAAAUGUAGGUAUAAGUAACGAUAAAGGGGGUGAGAAACCCCCUCGCCGCAAGACUAAGGUUUCCUGAUCAACGCUAAUCGGAUCAGGGUUAGUCGGGUCCUAAGGCUCAGCCGAACGGUGAGGCCGAUGGCAGAACAGGUUAAUAUUCCUGUACUACCUAUAGGAGUGAUGUGGAGACGGAGGAGUGACAACGCCGCGGACUGACGGAAUAGUCCGUUAAAGGGUGUAGAUGUUGAUUAUCCCAGGCAAAUCCGGGAUAAGAGUCGAACCUGACAGUAUACCAAUUUCCUCGGAAAACGGUAAUAGUGCGUGUAAACAUACUCCCAAGAAAAUCCGCUAAACUUAAUCUUAUAGGUACCCGUACCGUAAACGGACACACGUAGUCGGGUUGAAUAUACUCAGGCGCUUGAGUGAAUCACGGUUAAGGAACUAGGCAAAUUGACCCUGUAACUUCGGGAUAAAGGGUCCCUACCCGGUGACGGGAGGGCGCAGAGAAUAGGUCCAGGCAACUGUUUAACAAAAACACAGGGCUGUGCAAAAUUGAAAGAUCACGUAUACAGCCUGACACCUGCCCGGUGCUGGAAGGUUAAGAGGAGAUGUCAUCGCAAGAGAAGCAUUGAAUUGAAGCCCCAGUAAACGGCGGCCGUAACUAUAACGGUCCUAAGGUAGCGAAAUUCCUUGUCGGGUAAGUUCCGACCUGCACGAAUGG
This 1984-nucleotide ribosomal RNA is filed under the name human gut metagenome. Its description in RNAcentral is "bacterial LSU rRNA". It matches the Rfam family "Bacterial large subunit ribosomal RNA", at positions 1 to 1999 of the family's 2925-position model. The record is from RNAcentral.